AGUGAACGCUGGCGGCGUGCCUAAUACAUGCAAGUCGAACGGAGUGGCGCAAGGGUGAGUAAUAUAUAGCUAAUCUGCCCCUUGCUGGAGGACAACAGUCAGAAAUGAAUGCUAAUAAUCCAUAGCGAUGGAUGAGACUAUAUCGUAUCAGCUGGUUGGUGUGGUAACGGCCUACCGAGGCUAUGACUCGUAACUGGACUGAGAGGAUGAUCAGUCACAUUGGAACUGAGACACGGUGCAAACUCCUACGGGAGGCAGCAGUAGGGAAUAAUACGCAAGGGGGGGAACCCUGACGAAGCAACGCCGCGUGGAGGAUGACACUUGUCGGAGAGUAAACUCCUUUUAUUAGGAAAGCGGUACCGAACGAAUAAGCACCGGCUAACUCCGUGCCAGCAGCCGCGGUAAUAC
This 408-nucleotide ribosomal RNA is filed under the name uncultured bacterium. RNAcentral's name for it is "partial 16S ribosomal RNA". It matches the Rfam family "Bacterial small subunit ribosomal RNA", at positions 29 to 526 of the family's 1533-position model. The record is from RNAcentral.